This 4057-nucleotide long non-coding RNA is filed under the name Pelobates cultripes (western spadefoot toad). The record is from RNAcentral. Lineage: Eukaryota; Metazoa; Chordata; Amphibia; Anura; Pelobatidae.
AUAUAUAGUAAUUAAAAACAGACAGUAGUACAAUAACCUGUGCCUGCACACAGACAGAAAUACAGAGAGCAGAUAGCUAGAAGAAUCACUUAGUACAGUGAAAAUUAACCUGGCAAUCGCAGAAGUUUAAGAUCUACAUUUCCCGUGCUCCUAAAAUAAAGAUUAUGGAUCAAGGUAAAUGUAGUUCCUGAACACCCAGGGUUACUAGUUUAGUAAUCACCGGUUUAGUAUUAUAUCCGAGAGGUAACAUAUUAUAUGGACUGAGACUGCAUAAAAACUUAGUUGCUGGUUGAAAAUCUGAGGUAAAUGAUGGUUAAACAAUGCUUCCUUGCAUCGCUUUUGCAAUGAAAUCAUAAAUAAAAAGACCAAAUGCAUCUAAUAAAAAAAUUAUAAAAAGUCUUCAAACAGAUUGGACAAAACAUUGUUAAAAUUGAAAAAAUCUGUAGUUAUGAAACGAAAGUUGGCAGUUUAUAGUCUUGAGCUAUUGUCACAGAGGAAGGAAGUAUUAUAAUCAGAAUUACAUUCAGUACACGUCCCAAGGCAAAAAAUAAAAUAAAUAAAUUUAAAAAAAAGAAAAAAACAAAAAACAGGCAACUUCAAACUUCAUCUACUUAACUACCAGUUUAAAGAUAAUGAAAUUAAUCAAUGAUGUAUUUAAAGUACCAAAAAUGUAUAUAGGCAAAUAAAAUAAAUGAAAGCAAUAAUAAAUGGGGAUCCAGUGAAGAAGUUGGGUGCAGAUGCUUGCAUUAUUCAUAUACCGUGUUAAAAAAAAAAAAAAAAAACCAACAAACUCCUAUUACCUUUAAACUCAAUUUCAUUCUAGGAUUGGGAAGGAAUUUUCACGCAGCCUGAUUUUUUCCAAAGUGAGAUCAUCAAGCUUGAUGUGUGACCAAACAAAUGCUUCUUAUACAGAACAUAUGGAGCAUGCGCAGCAAUCGCCUUGAUCUACCAAUCCCAACACAUUGUCUCCAAAGCUUCUCAUAAAGUAAUAUUCGGCACACACAUCCAAGCGUCUUGUCUCAGUAAACUCAGCAUGCAGACACUGGAUGUAAAAUGGAUUCAAUUGUUGAAUUACUUUGACAGCUUACUAGCUUGGGGGGUGUCAACAUUUAAACCAUGCAAUUUCCUCAGUUUCAGCUGCGUGGACAGGAUCUAUACCUCAAAAUCCCUUUAUUUCGAUCAGGGGUCCUCAAACUCCGCCCCCCCAGAUGUUGCUGAACUACAACUCCCAUGAUUCUUUGAAUUACAUGGAGAAUCAUGGGAGUUGUAGUUCAGCAACAUCUGGGUGGCUGGAGUUUAAGGACCCCUGAUUUAGAUGACGUCACUCAUUUUGUGAUACCUAAAUUGUUACUUUUUUUGGUAUUAAAUAUAUGAGAAUAGCAAUGCUGUUGCGUGCCAGAUGGAAAUACACAGCCUUUCACUUAAGCAGUAAAAUAUAAAUUUAUUCUGAAUUAAACAAGAUUUGUUACAAUUAUAAGAAAAAAAGAUUAGUUUCAAUUUGCCAAUAAAUUUACCUUAUGAUAUUUUAGAACGGGUUAAUUGAAGGGGAACAAUGAGGGGUCUACAUGAAUCCUAAAAGGGGUAAUGUUAGUGAAUACAUACAUGCUUCCCAACAUGAAGUGGCUAACUUCAAACAAGCAGAAAGUUGGCAAAACUAGUAUAAUCUGGGAGGUUUCUGGAAUAUUAAUUCAGAACAUUUUCAAAUAUGUAAAUGCUUAAAUAUGGAUUCAUGUAGAAGAUUUAGAUCAGCUACACCUGGAUCACAACCAGAUAACAUUAUAUAAAGUUAUUUAUUUAUUCUGAUUCUUUGCUCUUUUACAAAAAUCAACCCUCUGACAUAUGUCCUAUUACUUUGCUUUAAAAAGUUACCAAAUCUUUUCUUUGAUGACAUUUAUGAAAUAUUUGUCCACCAAUGCACUGGCAGAAAUACAGCCAUGUGAGUUUUUACAAAGCAUGCCCUGAAAUUUAAAAUGGGAAGAAACAAAAAACCCACUAAUAGAGAAUAUGUUCACCUUAAAUUUCUGAAAAAUACACAAAAUAUUGUAAAGCAGACACAGGUCAAUUUUAGACAUUAUGCUUCCAUGCCUUAUGUCUUACGAAACAGUAAUAAAUAUUUUGACUGAAGUCCCACUCUCUUGCUUCAAAGACCCACUCAUUUCCAUUAGAGAGCGUUACGUGAUCUACAGCCUUAAUACAAUGACAUCUUUCUGUUCAUAAAUUUUAAUCUCUGGAUCAUCAAAAAGAGCAUUAAAGACUUAAAAGAUACCUUAGCAUGCUUCGCCAUGGGCAGAAUAAAUACUUGAUGGCUAUCGUUAGCUGACGUAAAGGAGAGAGCUGUUCACAAGAUUCCUAAACAGAGUUUACAGUGAAUGUAGACCACUGACUGUAUAAUAUAUAUCAGACUUGAAAGCAAGUGUAUCAGUACUUCGUUGUAUACCCCUAAUUCAACACAUCACAAUCCAUACAGCUACACAUUUUAGCUCUUAAGAGUAAUAAGGUGAAGUCACAUAUGCAGACGAGGAAACCGAUUUUAUCCUCUAAUCUAUACAUUUGCUUGCAAAUUUUCUGGCACCAAAAAUUGUCUAAAGAUCUUUAAUAGCACUCCACCUGAUACCAGCAAGCAGCUGGGAAUAGCCAUGUGCCACUUGAGGUCAAAUAUUGGUGAUUCAACAUCUAACAGUGAUAAGCUAGGUGCAGCAACUCUAACCUCUGGUUGACAAUAUAAAGACACUUUAUGUUUCACAUUCACGUAGUAAAUCCAGUUUAAGUGACAGGAGUCCUUGAAUUCUGAAUGUCUAAUUGUUUCCAAAGACUUAUGAGCAUUGGCAUUUUUGAAUCAAACACACAGCACAUUAUAUAGAUUUAUAUUUCAGGUUCAUUCGGGUAAGGGAUAAUUUCACAAAACACUUCCAGAAACUGGUAAAUUAUAUCUCCUAGCUUUCACUAAAAUUGCUGUAGCUGGGAUAAGCAGUAAACACAUGGAUACAUGUGUACUGCAAAAUGAUGUGGGGUCAAAUAAUUUAUUACAUUACUUUGAUUAAAUGGGACCUAAAGAAAAGCAUUACAUGAGCAUCUCCUUCAAAUAUUUCACAAAGCAUUUAAAAUGGCUAUGUUAAAACAUCAUGAAUAUAGAUCAUGUAUAUAGACUGAAUCCCAGAUAAGCCCUGCUAGGAAUCAAACCUGCAAUGCUUAGGUUUGCACAGUGAUUGAUGUUGGUGCAUUAACCAACUUGCAAGAGGUGGGGUGAGGACAAUGACAACUAAAGUUCAUUAAUGGCAGCCGUGACUUGAGUUGGAAAGAAAUACACUCAGUGGGAAAGGCUGAAUUUUAGGUUUUUAAACACUAACCCUGGACAUUGUAGGUGUCGUGAUCUGUAUGUUACACUCCUCAUUGAAUAUAUUGGGCUAGAUUGUAUUAGAUAUGCUAAGCUUAUUUCUUUUAUCCGAAUAUCAUUUUGCCAUGGAUGUCAAUUAAAAAAUGGCUUUCCAAUUAAAAGAUAUAAAGCUUUUAUUGUCGAAUAGAACCUAACCCACAGUCAGCAAAGGAUGAUAAUAUAUAUCCAAGGAUUAAUCAUGGUAGGUAUAUCUCUGUUUUUCGUGUUUGAACGAAAACAGAAUUCAGUCUUCUUUACUUCUUUAGAAUACGUUGUACGUUAUGAAUUGUAUUGUUCCGAGAGAAUAAGUGCAUAUCAAGUCCUGUGGUUUAUUAAGAUUAGCAAAUAUACACUCACAGUUAGCUCCCAAUUAUAAAUGUGUCCUUUAAAAAAAAAAAUUUCCUGCAUCAAAAUUUACAAAUAUAAUACUGGCUAAUGAAGGUUCAUUUUAAAAGACGCCAAAAAUAUGGAAAAUAAUAUUUUCACUUUGGCAUGUACUUAUUCAGGAUUUGUUAUUCCAUUGUGAGACAGACUUUGGCACCUAUUCCCAAGUCCAAACUAUUUUAUUUUACUGUUAUGGUGUAAAAAACAUCAAUCGCCUUUCUGCUUUCACAGGCUAGAAUUUCAGGUGUUUGGGAAGAACUUUUCCCAUCAGAAUCAGAUAGAGAUAUAUAUAUAUAUAUA